GGACCCGCACAAGCGGUGGAACAUGUGGUUUAAUUCGAUGAUACGCGAAGAACCUUACCUGGGUUUGACAUGUUAGUGAAAGUUUUCUGAAAAGAAAUCCCUUUAAAAGCUUGCUUUUAAACACUAUCACAGGUGAUGCAUGGCUGUCGUCAGCUCGUGUCGUGAGAUGUUAGGUUAAGUCCUGCAACGAGCGCAACCCCUAUAUUUAGUUGCCAGCACAUAAUGGUGGGGACUCUAAAUAGACUGCCCGGAAUAACCGGGAGGAAGGUGGGGAUGAUGUCAAGUCAGUAUGUCCCUUAUACCCAGGGCUACACACGUGUUACAAUGGACAGUACAGAAAGUUGCAAUUCCGCGAGGAGGAGCCAAUCUUUAAAACUGUCCCCAGUUCAGAUUGAAGUCUGAAAUUCGACUUCAUGAAGCAGGAAUCGCUAG
This 432-nucleotide ribosomal RNA is filed under the name uncultured bacterium. Its description in RNAcentral is "bacterial SSU rRNA". It matches the Rfam family "Bacterial small subunit ribosomal RNA", at positions 917 to 1338 of the family's 1533-position model. The record is from RNAcentral.